GACGAACGCUGGCGGCGUGCUUAACACAUGCAAGUCGAACGGUGAGGCUCCAGCUUGCUGGAGUGGAUCAGUGGCGAACGGGUGAGUAACACGUGAGCAACCUGCCCCUGACUCUGGAAUAAGCGCUGGAAACGGCGUCUAAUACUGGAUACGAGAAGGGUCCGCAUGGGCACUUUCUGUAAAGUUUUUCGGUUGGGGAUGGGCUCGCGGCCUAUCAGCUUGUUUGUGAGGUAAUGGCUCACCAAGGCGACGACGGGUAGCCGGCCUGAGAGGGCGACCGGCCACACUGGGACUGAGAAACGGACCAGAAUCCUACGGGAGGCAGCAGUGGGGAAUAUUGCACAAUGGGCGAAAGCCUGAUGCAGCGACGCCGCGUGAGGGAUGACGGCCUUCGGGUUGUAAACCUCUUUCAGCAGGGAAGAAGCGAAAGUGACGGUACCUGCAGAAGAAGCACCGGCUAACUACGUG
Molecule: ribosomal RNA, 468 nt
Filed under: uncultured bacterium
Lineage: Bacteria
Description: partial 16S ribosomal RNA
Rfam family: Bacterial small subunit ribosomal RNA
Source: RNAcentral